This 752-nucleotide ribosomal RNA is filed under the name uncultured Methanoculleus sp. RNAcentral's name for it is "bacterial SSU rRNA". It matches the Rfam family "Archaeal small subunit ribosomal RNA", at positions 102 to 859 of the family's 1478-position model. The record is from RNAcentral. Lineage: Archaea; Methanobacteriati; Methanobacteriota; Methanomicrobia; Methanomicrobiales; Methanomicrobiaceae.
GGAUAACCUGCCCUAAGGAAGGGGAUACCCCCGGGAAACUGGGGAUAAUACCCUAUAGGUUACAGAUGCUGGAAUGCUCUGUACCCGAAAGUUCCGGCGCCUUAGGAUGGAUCUGCGGCCGAUUAGGUUGUUGUCGGGGUAACGGCCCAACAAGCCAGUAAUCGGUACGGGUUGUGGGAGCAAGAGCCCGGAGUUGGAUUCUGAGACACGAAUCCAGGCCCUACGGGGCGCAGCAGGCGCGAAAACUUUACAAUGCGGGCAACCGUGAUAAGGGAACCUCGAGUGCCUGUAUAUGCAGGCUGUCUGGGUGUCUAAAACACACCUAAAGAAAGGGCCGGGCAAGACCGGUGCCAGCCGCCGCGGUAAUACCGGCGGCUCGAGUGGUGGCCACUUUUAUUGGGCUUAAAGCGUUCGUAGCUGGGUUAUUAAGUCCCUUGGGAAAUCCGACGGCUUAACCGUCGGGCGUCUAAGGGAUACUGGCAAUCUUGGAACCGGGAGAGGUGAGGGGUACUUCGGGGGUAGGAGUGAAAUCCUGUAAUCCUCGAGGGACCACCUGUGGCGAAGGCGCCUCACCAGAACGGCUUCGACAGUGAGGGACGAAAGCUGGGGGAGCAAACCGGAUUAGAUACCCGGGUAGUCCCAGCCGUAAACGAUGUGCGUUAGGUGUAUCGGUGACCACGAGUCACCGAGGUGCCGAAGGGAAACCGUGAAACGUACCGCCUGGGAAGUACGGUCGCAAGGCUGAAACUUAA